Anas platyrhynchos (mallard) is the source of this 1240-nucleotide non-coding RNA. NCBI's taxonomy places the organism in Eukaryota, Metazoa, Chordata, Aves, Anseriformes, Anatidae. The record is from RefSeq and is a predicted model, not a curated record.
CACAGGAAACACAGCCACCCCCCUUCCACAGCCACACGCAGAGAAACCAAGGUGGGCAAGGAGAUGUGGGCAGCCUGUGGCUGGACGUGGGCCUGAGCGUGUGUCACCAGGCACCAGGCUGGAGCACAGAGGAAACCUCCCAUCAUUUCAAACAAAAAAAUGACUUUUUUUUAAAAUGAAGAGCCAAAUCGGCAACAUUUUGCAACACAAAUGGCUGAAGUAAUCAUUACCAAGCAAACAAACAGAGAUAGGAAAGGGGCAGGGAGAAGAAUCUAGGCAUUUUAACAUUUUUUUUUUUCAUGGUUUGAGGUCUCGUAGCUGAAUCCAAGCCAUACUUUCAGGUGAUGCUGGAGCAACUGAGUGGCUUGCAUGUGGGGACUGGUGAGACCAACAGUGCUUCUCGUUCACCCUUGUGUUUCCUCCGCUCUAGUAGCCCUGGCAAACAUUUUGCAAUGCUGUGUGUCCCUGUUUAUAAGUGCCGAAAGAGAACUAAGAUUUUGUGACAGUCAUUCUGAUCUGGCCUGGAUAAAGCAGAACUGAAGAUACCUGAAGGAAGCUAGACCAAGAAUGAAAAAGCAUCAGAUGGGAACAAAUAUAAUUAAUCCAUAUUAGCUGCCAUAUUGUCCAAGAAGGGGAGUGGCAGCUCCGUAACAGCAGCAGCAGAAAGAGCCCAUGAAAGAAACAAAAAAGCAGAGGAGUCUGUCAUGUCAUGUGUAUGUAGAAAGCAUCCUGUGCAUGAAUUAUUUUGCUGUGGUGAUGACUGAAGCCUUCAAGAUCACUUCUCCAUUAGGAGAAAAGUUAGCUAGGUAUCCUUAGACACCAGCUUCCAUUUCCUUUUUCCUCCGUGGCUUUUUCAUAUAAAAAACAUCAAGGCAGGAGUACACCAAACUAUGGUAUUGAGUCCAACCAUUUAUGGAGAUUUUCAAGACCAGCCUAGAUUUGAGAGGAAAAGAAAAAAAAAGCAGUGCAAGGAAAGAGCUGUAAAGAAGAUCUCUAAGUCUGUGAUGCUGCAAAAGCUUGAAAGGUCCUGUGUUCCUUCACCACAGCAUUAUCCAGAAAACACAAGAUGCUUUCAGUGAGGGGAUACCUUUGAGAAAGGAGAUGCAGUAAAGCAUUUCAGAUGCCUUGGAGUUCUUGAGGAUCUUGAAAAUGCUUGUUUGGAGCUUUUUUCUUUUUCUAAGUGGAUUAGAGAUUUGGUUGGAUUAGGGCCUUAAUAAAUACCUACAGUGUUUGUCUUUCA